RNAcentral lists this transfer RNA (73 nucleotides) under Ornithorhynchus anatinus (platypus). It matches the Rfam family "tRNA". From Rfam's summary of the family: Transfer RNA (tRNA) molecules are approximately 80 nucleotides in length. Their secondary structure includes four short double-helical elements and three loops (D, anti-codon, and T loops). The record is from Rfam by way of RNAcentral. Lineage: Eukaryota; Metazoa; Chordata; Mammalia; Monotremata; Ornithorhynchidae.
AGCAGCGUGGCUCGGUGGAAAGAGCCCCGAGCUUGGGAGUCAGUCAUCAUGGGUUCGAAUCCCAGCUCUGUUA